ACCGACUGAGCCACCCAGGCACCCCAGUAAUUUUAAAUAAGUUUCAGAACCCCAUCCAGCCAAAUUCUGGAACUUCAACCAUGUUACAUUCAGUUGCCAUUCUCCUUAGACUCCUCUUGACUGUGGCAGUUUUUCAGAUUUUCCUUGUUCCUGAUGACCUUGACAGUUUGGAGGAGUACUGGACAGGCAAUUUGUAGAAUGUCUCCCAGGUGGAACUUUUUGGAUGUUUUCCCCAUGAUUAGACUGGGGGUUCUUGUAGGGAAGACCACAGAGGAAAAAUGCUGUUCUCAUUACAUCAUAUCAAGGGAGAGAAAAAAAAGAACAGCUUUUGGACUUCCUCGGGGAUGUGAUGGCAAGACAAAAUUGUGGGGCCUCUUUCACUUGCUAGGUGAAUAAACUUAU
This is a long non-coding RNA of Prionailurus viverrinus (fishing cat), 402 nucleotides long. RefSeq lists it as uncharacterized. The transcript is spliced from 3 exons. Lineage: Eukaryota; Metazoa; Chordata; Mammalia; Carnivora; Felidae. The record is from RefSeq and is a predicted model, not a curated record.